This 526-nucleotide ribosomal RNA is filed under the name Hortiboletus rubellus. RNAcentral's name for it is "eukaryotic LSU rRNA". The stretch from base 217 to 371 matches the Rfam family "5.8S ribosomal RNA". The record is from RNAcentral. Lineage: Eukaryota; Fungi; Basidiomycota; Agaricomycetes; Boletales; Boletaceae.
UUAUCGAAUAUCGAAGGGGACUGUCGCUGGCUUCGGAGCGAUCUGGAGCAUGUGCACGUCUCUUUUCUUACACACACUCGUGCACACUUUGUAGGCCCUCGAGAGAGGGACUACGUUUUUCCACAUCACAUCCUUACGGGUAUGUAACAAUGUAUGGCGAGAAGGUAUCUAGGCUGUCGCUCGACUCCGGUCGGGCCAUGGUCGAACAAAUAUUACAACUUUCAGCAACGGAUCUCUUGGCUCUCGCAUCGAGGAAGAACGCAGCGAAUUGCGAUAAGUAAUGUGAAUUGCAGAUUUUCAGUGAAUCAUCGAAUCUUUGAACGCACCUUGCGCUCCUUGGUAUUCCGAGGAGCAUGCCUGUUUGAGUGUCAUUUAACUCUCAACCGUGUCUCGAUUGAUUUCGAAGCCAUGGCUUGGACUUUGGGGGUUUGCUGGCCUUUCUCUAGGUCAGCUCUCCUGAAACGCAUUAGCGAUCUGGCGAGCAUGGUCUGGAGUGCACGGCCUUUCGACGUGAUAAUGAUCGUCG